UACGUAGGGGGCAAGCGUUGUCCGGAAUCAUUGGGCGUAAAGCGCGUGUAGGCGGUCCGGUUAGUCGGCUGUGAAAGUCAAGGGCUCAACCCUUGAAUGCCGGUCGAUACUGCCGGACUAGAGUCCGGAAGAGGCAAGUGGAAUUCCCGGUGUAGCGGUGAAAUGCGCAGAUAUCAGGAAGAACACCCGUGGCGAAAGCGGCUCUCUGGAACGGUACUGACGCUGAGACGCGAAAGCGUGGGGAGCGAACAGG
Molecule: ribosomal RNA, 253 nt
Filed under: uncultured bacterium
Lineage: Bacteria
Description: partial 16S ribosomal RNA
Rfam family: Bacterial small subunit ribosomal RNA
Source: RNAcentral